GAUGAACGCUGGCGGCGUGCCUAAUACAUGCAAGUCGAGCGAACAGACGAGGAGCUUGCUCCUCUGACGUUAGCGGCGGACGGGUGAGUAACACGUGGAUAACCUACCUAUAAGACUUGGCUAACUUCGGGAAACCGGAGCUAAUACCGGAUAAUAUAUUGAACCGCAUGGUUCAGUAGUGAAAGACGGUUUUGCUGUCACUUAUAGAUGGAUCCGCGCCGCAUUAGCUAGUUGGUAAGGUAACGGCUUACCAAGGCGACGAUGCGUAGCCGACCUGAGAGGGUGAUCGGCCACACUGGAACUGAGACACGGUCCAGACUCCUACGGGAGGCAGCAGUAGGGAAUCUUCCGCAAUGGGCGAAAGCCUGACGGAGCAACGCCGCGUGAGUGAUGAAGGUCUUCGGAUCGUAAAACUCUGUUAUUAGGGAAGAACAAAUGUGUAAGUAACUAUGCACGUCUUGACGGUACCUAAUCAGAAAGCCACGGCUAACUACGUG
Molecule: ribosomal RNA, 497 nt
Filed under: uncultured bacterium
Lineage: Bacteria
Description: partial 16S ribosomal RNA
Rfam family: Bacterial small subunit ribosomal RNA
Source: RNAcentral